CCUACGGGAGGCAGCAGUGGGGAAUUUUGGACAAUGGGGGAAACCCUGAUCCAGCCAUCCCGCGUGUAUGAUGAAGGCCUUCGGGUUGUAAAGUACUUUUGGCAGAGAAGAAAAGGUAUCUCCUAAUACGGGAUACUGCUGACGGUAUCUGCAGAAUAAGCACCGGCUAACUACGUGC
This 178-nucleotide ribosomal RNA is filed under the name uncultured bacterium. RNAcentral describes it as "partial 16S ribosomal RNA". It matches the Rfam family "Bacterial small subunit ribosomal RNA", at positions 338 to 508 of the family's 1533-position model. The record is from RNAcentral.